UCCGGAAUAGCUCUUGGAAACGGGUGGUAAUGCUGGAUGCUCCAACUUGACGCAUGUCUUGUUGGGAAAGUGUUUAGUGGCAUGGGAUGGGGUCGCGUCCUAUCAGCUUGUAGGCGGGGUAAUGGCCCACCUAGGCUUCGACGGGUAGCCGGCCUGAGAGGGCGGACGGCCACAUUGGGACUGAGAUACGGCCCAGACUCCUACGGGAGGCAGCAGCU
Molecule: ribosomal RNA, 218 nt
Filed under: uncultured Gardnerella sp.
Lineage: Bacteria; Bacillati; Actinomycetota; Actinomycetes; Bifidobacteriales; Bifidobacteriaceae
Description: partial 16S ribosomal RNA
Rfam family: Bacterial small subunit ribosomal RNA
Source: RNAcentral